RNAcentral lists this long non-coding RNA (252 nucleotides) under Lathyrus oleraceus (garden pea). Its description in RNAcentral is "Pisum sativum (pea) long non-coding RNA (PSAT_LNC014688)". The record is from RNAcentral. Lineage: Eukaryota; Viridiplantae; Streptophyta; Magnoliopsida; Fabales; Fabaceae.
UCGAAUUGUACCUUAAAUGCGUGCACAGUGUGUCAAAUGUCUCUGUUUUGCGUCGGAUCAGUAAUGAAAACUUACUAUAAAUGGUGACUGAUCACAACCCCAAACUUAGCUCAUUGCUUGUCCCAAGUAAUGUUUCAGUAUCACUCUCCAAAAUUCUUUAUGCUUUCCACCACUGCUGAGAUCAUUCGCAAACGUCUUCCCCUUUUCUUCCACAAGUCCUACCCAUCUUCGUAAGUCAUCAUUCACACUUCC